Long non-coding RNA from Aegilops tauschii subsp. strangulata, 1601 nucleotides. RefSeq lists it as uncharacterized. The record is from RefSeq and is a predicted model, not a curated record. NCBI's taxonomy places the organism in Eukaryota, Viridiplantae, Streptophyta, Magnoliopsida, Poales, Poaceae.
UUUAUUUUUUCAGAUUUUUUUAUAUAUAUGCAUACGUAUAAUAUAGCCCAAUAGGCCUAAAAAUCAGCCCAACAGAUUGACAAUGUGCAGCCCAGCGUGCUAAACGGACCAACGUGCCGGCCCGUUUACUAAAUAGGUUGUGCCUGGGCCUGGAGGCGCAGCACGUGGGUCGGCACGGCAUGACCCGUUUGGCCAGCUCUGCAUCAAACUGCUUCGGCUCAAUAAAGAAUUUCAAAUACCCUUAAAAAAAGAAUUUCAAUCUUCUAAAGAAAAUAAUACAAAUACUCAACACUAACUCUUUUUGCAAUGGAAAUACUUAAUACUCCCUCCUUUCCGAUUUAUAGGGCUCAAAUUUAAAAUCUCAUCAACCAAGGCAUAUGCUGAGUGAAGGAAUGUAGCUCGUACUCCCUCUGUUCCGUAUUAUUUGUCGUUGGGCAUUCACAGUUCAACUUCUGUCACGUUCAUUCUCUUUUUGACUUUCCAACUUUACCCCUCCUUCGCCGCUGUCGCCGCAGCUCCCACUCACUCGCUCGCUGUCUCCCUCUCCCUUUCCUCGUCGCCGCCCUCUCCCUCUCUUCUCUGUCGCCGCAGCUCCGCCGCAGCUAUGCCGGCCGCAGCUCCUUCGCCCCACCCCGUACGCCCUCCUGCACGACCUCGCCGCGCUCGAGCUCGCGGCCCUAUCCGCCCGCGCCGCCGCCUCCCUGGGGGGCGCAGCCGGCCUGCCGCAAGUACACCUACGCCGCCGCCUCCCGGGGGCCGCAAGGUGAAGUGGACGGCCGAGGAGAAGGCUCGCGGCGAGGGCCGGGCGCUCAACUGCGAGGCAGAGCUCGCCUCCCCCAACGACGGCGGCUUCGACCUGGGAGGCCUAGUCCGAGCCGGCGCCGCCGGCAAGGCCAAGACCAAGUGAGGCGCCGAGGAAGCCAGCGACGAUGACAAGAAGAAGCCGGCGAGGAAGUGCAUCCAGAUCGAGGAGAUCCCGCCGGCUGUGACGUCCAGAUCAAGAUUCUCUGCGCUGUCCGGGAUGAGAAGAGGAGCAGCAAGAAUCAAGCCCAAUACAGAGAGGAGAGGAGCAGCAGAAGUGGACAGCACAACGGCUGACCUCGAGCUCUUGAUUGGAGUGGGGGGAGGCGGCCGGCGAGGGAUCUGUGGCCAGCAGGGAAGGAUCUGAAGCUGCGGCGGAGCAGGCAGCCGGCGAGGGAGCUGCGGAUCGCGGCCGGGAAGGGCGGCCGGCGAGGGAGCUGCGGACCGCGGCCGGGAAGGGCGGCCGGCGAGGGAGCUGCGGACCGCCGCGGGGAAGGGCGGCCGGCGUGGCAGCUUCGGACCGCGGCGGGGAAGGACGCCAGAGUUGCGGACGGCAGAGGAGCCCGGCGGAAGGGAGGAGUGACGGCGGAGAAGCCUGGCGGAGGGGAGGAGCGACGUAGGAAGACGCCUCCUGAUCGAUUUCAAAUCGGGGGUACUUCCGUAAUUUCACAUCAUUUCACCUGGUCGGAACAGAACCUCCAGCGACAAAUAAUAUGGAACAGAGGGAGUACUUUACAAAACUACCCAAACUAAAUUGAUGCAUUAAUUGAGAUUAAUUGCAGUGCAUGCAUGCUUGACCA